This 253-nucleotide ribosomal RNA is filed under the name uncultured bacterium. Its description in RNAcentral is "partial 16S ribosomal RNA". It matches the Rfam family "Bacterial small subunit ribosomal RNA", at positions 524 to 776 of the family's 1533-position model. The record is from RNAcentral.
UACGAAGGGGGCUAGCGUUGUUCGGAUUUACUGGGCGUAAAGCGCACGUAGGCGGAUUGUUAAGUCAGGGGUGAAAUCCUGGAGCUCAACUCCAGAACUGCCUUUGAUACUGGCAAUCUUGAGUCCGGAAGAGGUGAGUGGAACUCCUAGUGUAGAGGUGGAAUUCGUAGAUAUUAGGAAGAACACCAGUGGCGAAGGCGGCUCACUGGACUGGUAUUGACGCUGAGGUACGAAAGCGUGGGGAGCAAACAGG